RNAcentral lists this long non-coding RNA (393 nucleotides) under Lathyrus oleraceus (garden pea). RNAcentral describes it as "Pisum sativum (pea) long non-coding RNA (PSAT_LNC000942)". Lineage: Eukaryota; Viridiplantae; Streptophyta; Magnoliopsida; Fabales; Fabaceae. The record is from RNAcentral.
CCCUCAUUCAAACAUUUCCCUCAUAUGAGCUAGUAGGCCCCGCCACGCCGAAAAUCGCCUUCGGCGGUGGCGGACGUCCAAAACCUACAAUCCUCACAUCAAUGAAACCGUCUUCGUCUCCUCUACCCUAAUCCACCCUCGCUUUCUUCCAAUUCUCAACCAAACAUUCAAACCGAAGCCAAUUGCACAUGAACCCUAAUUCACUAAAACAAUAAUUAAACACAAGUAUGGAGGAAUCAAAGCCUAAUUCCUUAGCGUUUAGAUUCCUCAGGUAAAACCUCACAUGGAUGCAACAAGAAUAAGGGAAAAUGAAGGAGUAAUGAGGAGAUCCUACAUACAAGGACGAGUUAUUCCCCGGUUAGUAUUGAAUUUGACACAAAUGAAGAUGAGGAC